This 18-nucleotide unclassified non-coding RNA is filed under the name Mus musculus (house mouse). RNAcentral describes it as "oocyte_clustered_small_RNA7500". Lineage: Eukaryota; Metazoa; Chordata; Mammalia; Rodentia; Muridae. The record is from RNAcentral.
AUUUUAUGUCCAGUACUG